AAGAAAAAUCCUUUUAUUAUUAAUAAAAAAUUUGAUACAAGUACCAAAAGUAUUGGCCUAUAUGGCUUACACCAACAUGUCAUAGUGCCAAUAUUCAAGACCCCUGAGUGGAUAGUCAUUCAAUUUGACAGCAACAAUAACACUAAUGUCAAUAGAUCGGUAUCGUUGUUGAUUAUACGGUUAGUGGGCUCCGUCCUCUACUCAUUUGAU
RNAcentral lists this long non-coding RNA (210 nucleotides) under Lathyrus oleraceus (garden pea). Its description in RNAcentral is "Pisum sativum (pea) long non-coding RNA (PSAT_LNC011614)". The record is from RNAcentral. Lineage: Eukaryota; Viridiplantae; Streptophyta; Magnoliopsida; Fabales; Fabaceae.